GUGGGCAUAGCUCAGCUGGUUAGAGCACCAGAUUGUGGAUCUGGGGGUCGCGGGUUCAAGUCCCGUUGCUCACC
RNAcentral lists this transfer RNA (74 nucleotides) under Planctomyces sp. RNAcentral's name for it is "tRNA-His". It matches the Rfam family "tRNA". From Rfam's summary of the family: Transfer RNA (tRNA) molecules are approximately 80 nucleotides in length. RNAcentral also lists the same sequence under 1 other name. The record is from RNAcentral. Lineage: Bacteria; Pseudomonadati; Planctomycetota; Planctomycetia; Planctomycetales; Planctomycetaceae.